CCUACGGGUGGCAGCAGUGGGGGAUAUUGCACAAUGGGGGGAACCCUGAUGCAGCGACGCCGCGUGGGUGAAGGAGCGUUUCGGCGCGUAAAGCCCUAUCGGCAGGGAAGAAGGAGGACGGUACCUGACUGAGAAGCCCCGGCUAACUACGUGCCAGCAGCCGCGGGAAUACGUAGGGGGCAAGCGUUAUCCGGAUUUACUGGGUGGAAAGGGGGCGCAGACGGCAGCGCAAGCCAGGAGUGAAAGCCCGGGGCCCAACCCCGGGACUGCUCUUGGAACUGCGCGGCUGGAGUGCAGGAGGGGCAGGCGGAAUUCCUGGUGUAGCGGUGAAAUGCGUAGAUAUCAGGAGGAACACCGGUGGCGAAGGCGGCCUGCUGGACUGCGACUGACGUUGAGGCCCGAAAGCGUGGGGAGCAAACAGGAUUAGAUACCCGUGUAGUC
RNAcentral lists this ribosomal RNA (441 nucleotides) under uncultured bacterium. RNAcentral's name for it is "partial 16S ribosomal RNA". It matches the Rfam family "Bacterial small subunit ribosomal RNA", at positions 338 to 795 of the family's 1533-position model. The record is from RNAcentral.